Molecule: ribosomal RNA, 253 nt
Filed under: uncultured bacterium
Lineage: Bacteria
Description: partial 16S ribosomal RNA
Rfam family: Bacterial small subunit ribosomal RNA
Source: RNAcentral
UACGAGUGCCCCGAGCGUUAUCCGGAAUUAUUGGGCGUAAAGAGCUCGUAGGCGGCUUGUCACGUCGGGUGUGAAAGCCCGGGGCUUAACCCCGGGUCUGCAUUCGAUACGGGCUAGCUAGAGUGUGGUAGGGGAGAUCGGAAUUCCUGGUGUAGCGGUGAAAUGCGCAGAUAUCAGGAGGAACACCGGUGGCGAAGGCGGAUCUCUGGGCCAUUACUGACGCUGAGGAGCGAAAGCGUGGGGAGCGAACAGG